ACACCGGCAGCUCAAGUGGUGGCCAUUUUUAUUGGGCCUAAAGCGUUCGUAGCCGGCUUGAUAAGUCUCUGGUGAAAUCCCAUAGCUUAACUGUGGGAAUUGCUGGAGAUACUAUUAGGCUUGAGGCCGGGAGAGGUUAGGGGUACUCCCAGGGUAGGGGUGAAAUCCUAUAAUCCUGGGAGGACCACCUGUGGCGAAGGCGCCUAACUGGAACGGACCUGACACUGAGGCGCGAAAGCCAGGGGAGC
This 248-nucleotide ribosomal RNA is filed under the name uncultured bacterium. Its description in RNAcentral is "partial 16S ribosomal RNA". It matches the Rfam family "Archaeal small subunit ribosomal RNA", at positions 473 to 720 of the family's 1478-position model. The record is from RNAcentral.